This 602-nucleotide ribosomal RNA is filed under the name Micromonospora sp. WYP-193. RNAcentral describes it as "bacterial SSU rRNA". It matches the Rfam family "Bacterial small subunit ribosomal RNA", at positions 274 to 885 of the family's 1533-position model. The record is from RNAcentral. Lineage: Bacteria; Bacillati; Actinomycetota; Actinomycetes; Micromonosporales; Micromonosporaceae.
CGACGACGGGUAGCCGGCCUGAGAGGGCGACCGGCCACACUGGGACUGAGACACGGCCCAGACUCCUACGGGAGGCAGCAGUGGGGAAUAUUGCACAAUGGGCGGAAGCCUGAUGCAGCGACGCCGCGUGAGGGAUGACGGCCUUCGGGUUGUAAACCUCUUUCAGCAGGGACGAAGCGUAAGUGACGGUACCUGCAGAAGAAGCGCCGGCCAACUACGUGCCAGCAGCCGCGGUAAGACGUAGGGCGCGAGCGUUGUCCGGAUUUAUUGGGCGUAAAGAGCUCGUAGGCGGCUUGUCGCGUCGACUGUGAAAACCCGCGGCUCAACCGCGGGCCUGCAGUCGAUACGGGCAGGCUAGAGUUCGGUAGGGGAGACUGGAAUUCCUGGUGUAGCGGUGAAAUGCGCAGAUAUCAGGAGGAACACCGGUGGCGAAGGCGGGUCUCUGGGCCGAUACUGACGCUGAGGAGCGAAAGCGUGGGGAGCGAACAGGAUUAGAUACCCUGGUAGUCCACGCUGUAAACGUUGGGCGCUAGGUGUGGGGGGCCUCUCCGGUUCCCUGUGCCGCAGCUAACGCAUUAAGCGCCCCGCCUGGGGGAGUACGG